CGAGGCGGGGCUUCCCUCCGCUUCGUGCUGUCCUUUCCCCUGCGGCCUCUGCUCUGGCGGGAGUACCCCGGCCGAGCUCCCAGACACGUGCGGAGGGGGACAGGCAUGGGCUUUGGACAGAGGCAGCACCAGAUGCCUUUACCUGAGAGAGAAAUCUGCCUCCAUCAGGACCUCAGAUGUCUGACAGCCCUAUGUGACACCAGGAUAGGUAAUAUAGUCCCUUUUGUUGGGAUAUUCCUGUAAGUAAACUGCAGGACAUGUGGUGCUUUGCAACACUGACAACAUUUACUGCGUGUUGGUGAUGUGCCAGAAUUGUAAACUCAUUCUACAUAUCUUAAUCCUCUCAUCAGGCCUGCAAGGUACUGCUGUUAUUUGCCCAAGGUCACACAGUGGGUCGGAACUACUGUGGUGUUAAUUUAAUCUAGUUCCAAAGCUAGUGUUUGAUUUGGAACUUUUAAGUACGGUGCCUACAGGUCUUUCCAACUAAUUCUAAUGAAUAUCUGCUGACUUUUUCAAUCAUCAAACUCAUUCAGAUUAAGGAUUAAUAUCUUUGAUGAACUACUUAAGUGCCAGUUUCUUCUAGUUUCUUAAAACCAUUCCAAAUGCCAAAGACCUUCUUUCAGUCUAUCAGCAUCUUGGCCACUAUUGCUGAAGCGUGAGGAGGCUUCCUUUUGUUCUUAGCAUACAAAGAACAUAUAGAGACAAACCGUUAGCCUUGCUUUUAGCAUCCAUCUACUUCAUUCCUCCUGUCAUACCGCCUCUGAAUCUCAGGUUUUUUAAAAAUGCCCCUCUGGAAGGCCUCAGUGGGUCACAUUCCCACACCCAGACUUGCCCUAUGAUAGUGUUUGUCACAUUUUAUUAAAAUUUUUCAGUGCUGGCCCUACUAAACUAUGGGUUCAGUGAGGGUCAGAAUAAGAAUUCUGAGACCGUAAAACAUUCCUGAAAUAUUUGCCUUUUUUUUUUUUUUUUUUUUUUAAGAGAAAGAAUGUGGUGGGAAGCGGGAGAGAGAGAAUCUUAAGCAGGCUCCAGGCCUCUGCAGAUCCCGAUGUUGGACUCCAUGUCACCAGCCUGAGAUCAUGACCUGAAUGAAGAGUUGGACCUUCAACCACCUAAUGAUCCAACCAGGUGCUCCAAAGAUUACUUUUUUAAGGUUGGGGUAGAGUAGGGUUCCCAUUUUAAUUUUACAUGCAUAGUAGUACAACUGCUAAAUUAAGGGCAUAAAGACUUUAUAGAUACAUAUUAUAAACCUUGUUACAAAUAAUACAACACGGAAAAGUUAUUCCAAGAUUAUUUCAACAAUAUAUCAAGUAUAAUCUCCCUACAUGCUAAAAUAGCAUUUGUUAAAAUUGCUGAGGAUCAACAUUCCUAACCUAUUAAAAGUGUCUUACCCAAAAGGCUGUGUGAUGCUUAAUGAAGAAACCCUAGAAAUGAUCCCAUUAAAAAAAGAGAAAAGAGGGGCACCUGGGUGGUUCAGUUUUUAAUCAACUGCCUUUGGCUCAGGUCAUGAUCCCAGGGUCCUGGGAGGAGCCUGCUUCUCCUUCUCCCACUCGCCCUGCUUGUGUCUCUCUGUCCAAUAAAUACAUAAAAUCUUUUUAAAAAAAAAAAAGA
Long non-coding RNA from Neogale vison (American mink), 1608 nucleotides. The record is from Ensembl. NCBI's taxonomy places the organism in Eukaryota, Metazoa, Chordata, Mammalia, Carnivora, Mustelidae.